Molecule: ribosomal RNA, 515 nt
Filed under: uncultured bacterium
Lineage: Bacteria
Description: partial 16S ribosomal RNA
Rfam family: Bacterial small subunit ribosomal RNA
Source: RNAcentral
GAUGAACGCUGGCGGCGUGCCUAAUACAUGCAAGUCGAGCGAAUGGAUUAAGAGCUUGCUCUUAUGAAGUUAGCGGCGGACGGGUGAGUAACACGUGGGUAACCUGCCCAUAAGACUGGGAUAACUCCGGGAAACCGGGGCUAAUACCGGAUAACAUUUUGAACCGCAUGGUUCGAAAUUGAAAGGCGGCUUCGGCUGUCACUUAUGGAUGGACCCGCGUCGCAUUAGCUAGUUGGUGAGGUAACGGCUCACCAAGGCAACGAUGCGUAGCCGACCUGAGAGGGUGAUCGGCCACACUGGGACUGAGACACGGCCCAGAUUCCUACGGGAGGCAGCAGUAGGGAAUCUUCCGCAAUGGACGAAAGUCUGACGGAGCAACGCCGCGUGAGUGACGAAGGCUUUCGGGUCGUAAAACUCUGUUGUUAGGGAAGAACAAGUGCUAGUUGAAUAAGCUGGCACCUUGACGGUACCUAACCAGAAAGCCACGGCUAACUACGUGCCAGCAGCCGCAGUAA